Molecule: ribosomal RNA, 800 nt
Filed under: Opamata lipcowa
Lineage: Eukaryota; Metazoa; Arthropoda; Insecta; Hemiptera; Cicadellidae
Description: 12S ribosomal RNA
Source: RNAcentral
CCCAAUAAUAGUUAAAUUUAUUAAUAAAUGUUAUACAAUCAUUAUAUACUAUAGACUCACUAUUAAUUAAUUGUAAGUUUUAUUCUUGCUUAUUAUAUUAAUUUUUUAAUAAUAUUAUAUGUAAUUUUUUUAAUUUUUGUUAUUUCAGUAAUAAAUUUUAUUAAUUAUUUUCUUUUUUAUUAAGUUAUUUAAUUGUAUUGGAUUAAAAUUGUGCCAGCAGUCGCGGUUAUACAAUUCAUUAAAAUUAAUAUUUUAGGUUUCAAUUAUUUAAUUUUUGGAAAUAAACUAUUUAAAUUUAGGUGGAAUUUAUUUAAYUUAUUAUUUUCUUUCUGAUUUUUAUUAAAUUUAAUUCUUAAACUAGGAUUAGAUACCCUAUUAUUUUAUGUUUAAUUUUUUGCUUGAAUAUUAUCAGCUAUUUUCUGUUAAACUCAAAGAAUUUGGCGGUAAUUAAUUUUUUUAGAGGAAUUUGGUUKUUAAUUGAUAAACCACGAUAGACUUAACUUUUUUUGUAUUUGUAUAUCUCUAUAAUUCGGAAUGUUAUUAUAAUAUAUUUUCUUUUUUUUUAUUAAAUUUUAUGUUAGGUCAAGGUGCAGUUUUAAUAAAGUGAAUUUGAAUUACUUUAAUUUUAUAUAUUUAUUGCUAAAUUAAUAAUUUUUUUUUAAAAUAGAAUUUAAUAGUAAUUUUAAGUAAUUAUUUAAUUUGAAUUUAAUACUAAAUUAUGUACAUAUUGCCCGUCACUCUCAUUUAAGUUGAGAUAAGUCGUAACAAAGUAAUUUUACUGGAAAGUGAGGUUAGAAUGU